CAGCACGAGAGAUUCAAGAGGAAGAAAUAAGGAAAGAGCGAACAUCGCACCGUUGAAAAACGGAGUUGUUGCGGCAGCGAUGCAUAAGCAAAAUGGUUAGUUUCUAUCUUCUCCCUUUAUGUUUUGUCUAUAAUCCUUUGCCAUCGAUUGAUUUUCCAUGUUUAGGUUGCAGUCUUUAAAUUUGAUUUUGAAGAAUCACAUGGUUAUUACAGUGGAAAACAUAUGGGAGAAGAGAACUAACAAGGCUUAGAGCAUUCACAUGCAUAAUACAACAAUCAACGUACACAUUUGCUUUAAAGACUAUGUCUUCUUCUAAGUUAUGUAGAUGAUACAUUCGAACUUCAGAUGCCUUUAAAACAGUAUAUAUAUGGCAUGCUUUUGGAUCGUCAAUAAUUUG
RNAcentral lists this long non-coding RNA (397 nucleotides) under Medicago truncatula (barrel medic). Its description in RNAcentral is "long non-coding RNA (MTRU_LNC004054)". The record is from RNAcentral. Lineage: Eukaryota; Viridiplantae; Streptophyta; Magnoliopsida; Fabales; Fabaceae.